Molecule: transfer RNA, 73 nt
Filed under: Monodelphis domestica (gray short-tailed opossum)
Lineage: Eukaryota; Metazoa; Chordata; Mammalia; Didelphimorphia; Didelphidae
Rfam family: tRNA
About the family: Transfer RNA (tRNA) molecules are approximately 80 nucleotides in length.
Source: Rfam by way of RNAcentral
AAGUGGGUGGUACAGUGGAUAGAGCACCAGACUUGGAAUCAGGAAGAUUUGAGUUCCUAUCUGUCCUCACUUA